GUGCCAGCCGCCGCGGUAAUACGGAGGGUGCAAGCGUUAAUCGGAAUUACUGGGCGUAAAGCGCGCGUAGGUGGCUUGAUAAGCCGGUUGUGAAAGCCCCGGGCUCAACCUGGGAACGGCAUCCGGAACUGUCAGGCUAGAGUGCAGGAGAGGAAGGUAGAAUUCCCGGUGUAGCGGUGAAAUGCGUAGAGAUCGGGAGGAAUACCAGUGGCGAAGGCGGCCUUCUGGACUGACACUGACACUGAGGUGCGAAAGCGUGGGUAGCAAACAGGAUUAGAUACCCCGGUAGUCC
This 292-nucleotide ribosomal RNA is filed under the name uncultured bacterium. RNAcentral describes it as "partial 16S ribosomal RNA". It matches the Rfam family "Bacterial small subunit ribosomal RNA", at positions 505 to 796 of the family's 1533-position model. The record is from RNAcentral.